Molecule: long non-coding RNA, 216 nt
Filed under: Phascolarctos cinereus (koala)
Lineage: Eukaryota; Metazoa; Chordata; Mammalia; Diprotodontia; Phascolarctidae
Description: lncRNA (ENSPCIG00000012568.2)
Source: RNAcentral
CAAGAGUUUCUCUACAGUUGAAGUCAUAGGACUGAUGAGUCUUCUAAGUCCCUGGGCCAGGCAUGUAGAUGGACCAUCAGAACCCCCGGAAAGAUGCUUGCCUUGGAGUCGCCUGUGGAGACCUCACCUCAGGUCUCAUAAUCCUCCGGCUAUAAACAGCACUGGCCUUCUACUGAACCACAGGGUGUAGAGGUGAGAGACUGUCGUUGAGAGCUG